AUUGAACGCUGGCGGCAGGCCUAACACAUGCAAGUCGAACGGUAACAGGAAGAAGCUUGCUUCUUUGCUGACGAGUGGCGGACGGGUGAGUAAUGUCUGGGAAACUGCCUGAUGGAGGGGGAUAACUACUGGAAACGGUAGCUAAUACCGCAUAACGUCGCAAGACCAAAGAGGGGGACCUUCGGGCCUCUUGCCAUCGGCUGUGCCCAGAUGGGAUUAGCUAGUAGGUGGGGUAACGGCUCACCUAGGCGACGAUCCAUAGCUGGUCUGAGAGGAUGACCAGCCACACUGGAACUGAGACACGGUCCAGACUCCUACGGGAGGCAGCAGUGGGGAAUAUUGCACAAUGGGCGCAAGCCUGAUGCAGCCAUGCCGCGUGUAUGAAGAAGGCCUUCGGGUUGUAAAGUACUUUCAGCGGGGAGGAAGGGAGUAAAGUUAAUACCUUUGCUCAUUGACGUUACCCGCAGAAGAAGCACCGGCUAACUCCGUG
Molecule: ribosomal RNA, 490 nt
Filed under: uncultured bacterium
Lineage: Bacteria
Description: partial 16S ribosomal RNA
Rfam family: Bacterial small subunit ribosomal RNA
Source: RNAcentral